CAGCCGCCGCGGUAAUACGGAGGGUGCGAGCGUUAUUCGGAAUUACUGGGCGUAGAGGGCGCGUAGGCGGCCCCUUAAGUCAGGCGUGAAAGCCCGGGGCUAAACCCCGGAAGUGCGUCCGAAACUGGGGGGCUUGAGUACGGGAGAGGGAAGUGGAAUUCCUGGUGUAGAGGUGAAAUUCGUAGAUAUCAGGAGGAACAUCGGUGGCGAAGGCGACUUCCUGGACCGAUACUGACGCUGAGGCGCGAAAGCGUGGGUAGCAAACAGGAUUAGAGACCCUGGUAGUCCACGCUGUAAACGAUGAACACUAGGUGUAGCGGGUAUUGACUCCUGCUGUGCCGCAGCUAACGCAUAAAGUGUGCCGCCUGGGGACUACGGUCGCAAGGCUAAAACUCAAAGGAAUAGACGGGGGCCCGCACAAGCGGUGGAGCAUGUGGUUUAAUUCGACGCAACGCGAAGAACCUUACCUGGGCUUGACAUCCCAAGGAGCUCCUCGAAAGAGGAAUGUGCCCUUUGGGGAACUUGGUGACAGGUGCUGCAUGGCUGUCGUCAGCUCGUGUCGUGAGAUGUUGGGUUAAGUCCCGCAACGAGCGCAACCCUUGUCUUUAGUUGCCAUCAGUUCGGCUGGGCACUCUAGAGAUACUGCCUCGGUCAACGGGGAGGAAGGUGGGGAUGACGUCAAGUCCUCAUGGCCCUUAUGCCCAGGGCUACACACGUGCUACAAUGGGCUGUACAAAGGGCAGCGAACUCGCGAGGGUAAGCUAAUCCCAAAAAACAGUCCUCAGUUCGGAUUGGAGUCUGCAAUUCGACUCCAUGAAGUUGGAAUCGCUAGUAAUCGUGGAUCAGCAUGCCACGGUGAAUUCGUUCCCGGGCCUUGUACACACCGCCCGUCACACCACGAGAGUUGACUGUACCAGAAGUUGUUGGACCAACCCCAUUUUGGGGCGGUAGAUACCUAAGGUAUGGUUGGUGAUUGGGGUGAANUCGUAACAAGGUAACCGUA
This 1003-nucleotide ribosomal RNA is filed under the name uncultured delta proteobacterium. Its description in RNAcentral is "bacterial SSU rRNA". It matches the Rfam family "Bacterial small subunit ribosomal RNA", at positions 509 to 1504 of the family's 1533-position model. Lineage: Bacteria; Deltaproteobacteria. The record is from RNAcentral.